GGGGCUGUGGAUUAGCGGAAGAUCGUUCGCUUGGCAUGCGAAAGGCCGGGGGUUCAAUAAAUAAGCGGGAUUUACCCGUCAUGUGAGAAUCCCCCCAGCUCCA
RNAcentral lists this transfer RNA (103 nucleotides) under Promethearchaeota archaeon Loki_b31. Its description in RNAcentral is "Candidatus Lokiarchaeota archaeon Loki_b31 tRNA-Ala". It matches the Rfam family "tRNA". From Rfam's summary of the family: Transfer RNA (tRNA) molecules are approximately 80 nucleotides in length. Their secondary structure includes four short double-helical elements and three loops (D, anti-codon, and T loops). The record is from RNAcentral. RNAcentral also lists the same sequence under 1 other name. Lineage: Archaea; Promethearchaeati; Promethearchaeota.